UACGUAGGGGGCGAGCGUUGUCCGAAUUUACUGGGCGUAAAGCGCGUGUAGGCGGUUCUUUAAGUCAGAUGUGAAAUCCUGUGGCUCAACCACAGAACUGCAUUUGAAACUGAAGGGCUUGAGUGUGGGAGAGGAAAGUGGAAUUCCUGGUGUAGCGGUGAAAUGCGUAGAUAUCAGGAGGAACACCCGUGGCGAAGGCGGCUUUCUGGCCCACCACUGACGCUGAGACGCGAAAGCUAGGGGAGCGAACGGGAUUAGAAACCCUAGUAGUCC
This 273-nucleotide ribosomal RNA is filed under the name uncultured prokaryote. RNAcentral describes it as "partial 16S ribosomal RNA". It matches the Rfam family "Bacterial small subunit ribosomal RNA", at positions 524 to 796 of the family's 1533-position model. The record is from RNAcentral.